RNAcentral lists this ribosomal RNA (482 nucleotides) under uncultured bacterium. Its description in RNAcentral is "partial 16S ribosomal RNA". It matches the Rfam family "Bacterial small subunit ribosomal RNA", at positions 30 to 507 of the family's 1533-position model. The record is from RNAcentral.
AUUGAACGCUGGCGGCAUGCCUUACACAUGCAAGUCGAACGGUAACGGGCCUUCGGGUGCCGACGAGUGGCGAGCGGGUGAGUAAUACAUCGGAACGUGCCCGAUCGUGGGGGAUAACGAGGCGAAAGCUUUGCUAAUACCGCAUACGAUCUACGGAUGAAAGCAGGGGACCGCAAGGCCUUGCGCGGACGGAGCGGCCGAUGGCAGAUUAGGUAGUUGGUGGGAUAAAAGCUUACCAAGCCGACGAUCUGUAGCUGGUCUGAGAGGAUGAUCAGCCACACUGGGACUGAGACACGGCCCAGACUCCUACGGGAGGCAGCAGUGGGGAAUUUUGGACAAUGGGCGCAGGCCUGAUCCAGCCAUGCCGCGUGCAGGAUGAAGGCCUUCGGGUUGUAAACUGCUUUUGUACGGAACGAAAAGCCUUCUUUUAAUACAGGAGGGUCAUGACGGUACCGUAAGAAUAAGCACCGGCUAACUACGUG